GAUGAACGCUGGCGGCGUGCUUAACACAUGCAAGUCGAACGAAGCACUUUAACCUGAUUCUUCGGAUGAAGGUUUUUGUGACUGAGUGGCGGACGGGUGAGUAACGCGUGGGUAACCUGCCUCAUACAGGGGGAUAACAGUUAGAAAUGACUGCUAAUACCGCAUAAGACCACAGAGCCGCAUGGCUCGGUGGGAAAAACUCCGGUGGUAUGAGAUGGACCCGCGUCUGAUUAGGUAGUUGGUGGGGUAACGGCCUACCAAGCCAACGAUCAGUAGCCGACCUGAGAGGGUGACCGGCCACAUUGGGACUGAGACACGGCCCAAACUCCUACGGGAGGCAGCAGUGGGGAAUAUUGCACAAUGGGGGAAACCCUGAUGCAGCGACGCCGCGUGAGCGAAGAAGUAUUUCGGUAUGUAAAGCUCUAUCAGCAGGGAAGAAAAUGACGGUACCUGACGAAGAAGCACCGGCUAAAUACGUG
RNAcentral lists this ribosomal RNA (479 nucleotides) under uncultured bacterium. RNAcentral's name for it is "partial 16S ribosomal RNA". It matches the Rfam family "Bacterial small subunit ribosomal RNA", at positions 28 to 507 of the family's 1533-position model. The record is from RNAcentral.